This 462-nucleotide unclassified non-coding RNA is filed under the name Hevea brasiliensis (rubber tree). The record is from RNAcentral. Lineage: Eukaryota; Viridiplantae; Streptophyta; Magnoliopsida; Malpighiales; Euphorbiaceae.
UCUAAAAGAAAAAAUUAGGUUUUUCAAUUUGGUAUUUCAUUUAAUUCAGUAAAAUAAAAAAUGAAACCGAACCCCAAUUGCUAAACUUUCAAGUUUCAGCUCCCCACUCUUCUCCCUUGAUUCUGUCAGUUUCUUACCUUUGGGCGAUGGGUCGUGGCUCUCCGCUUCCAAACCAAGGCAGACAGCCACGGCUCCUCUCCAUUUCAUUUCACAUCUUCAAAACUCCCUUCCUGUCUAGUUCACAAGAAUCAAUCCCCUUUCUCCUCUCAAGACUUUCUAAUUUCCAAAACUCAGUGUUUCAAUCUACCCAUGUUUACGGUCUCUCUAAUUUCUAAUCCUCUCUCAUCUGAGAUCAGAGAUCAGAGAUGCUCGGUAGGUCCUUUGUGAUUCUUCAUCAGUCGCAGAGAGUCACUUGCAGAUGCAAUUCUUCAAGCUCUCAGGCCCCUAAGAACUGUGAUUUUA